AUUGAACGCUGGCGGCAGGCCUAACACAUGCAAGUCGAGCGGAUGAAGGGAGCUUGCUCCUGGAUUCAGCGGCGGACGGGUGAGUAAUGCCUAGGAAUCUGCCUGGUAGUGGGGGAUAACGUCCGGAAACGGGCGCUAAUACCGCAUACGUCCUGAGGGAGAAAGUGGGGGAUCUUCGGACCUCACGCUAUCAGAUGAGCCUAGGUCGGAUUAGCUAGUUGGUGGGGUAAAGGCCUACCAAGGCGACGAUCCGUAACUGGUCUGAGAGGAUGAUCAGUCACACUGGCAGUGAGACACGGCACAGACUUAUAGGAGGCACAGCAGGGGAGAAUAGUGGACUAUGGGCAAGAGUGUGCUAGCGCCGUGGCGCGUGUGAAGAAGGUCUUCGGAUUGCAAAGCACUUUAAGUUGGGAGGAAGGGCAGUAAGUUAAUACCUUGCUGUUUUGACGUUACCAACAGAAUAAGCACCGGCUAACUUCGUG
This 482-nucleotide ribosomal RNA is filed under the name uncultured bacterium. RNAcentral describes it as "partial 16S ribosomal RNA". It matches the Rfam family "Bacterial small subunit ribosomal RNA", at positions 30 to 507 of the family's 1533-position model. The record is from RNAcentral.